This 443-nucleotide ribosomal RNA is filed under the name uncultured bacterium. RNAcentral describes it as "partial 16S ribosomal RNA". It matches the Rfam family "Bacterial small subunit ribosomal RNA", at positions 338 to 795 of the family's 1533-position model. The record is from RNAcentral.
CCUACGGGGUGCAGCAGUGGGGAAUAUUGGACAAUGGGGGGAACCCUGAUCCAGCGACGCCGCGUGAGUGAAGAAGUAUUUCGGUAUGUAAAGCUCUAUCAGCAGGGAAGAAAGAAAUGACGGUACCUGACUAAGAAGCCCCGGCUAACUACGUGCCAGCAGCCGCGGUAAUACGUAGGGGGCAAGCGUUAUCCGUAUUUACUGGGUGUAAAGGGAGCGUAGACGGCGAUGCAAGUCUGAAGUGAAAGGCGGGGGCGCAACCCCCGGACUGCUUUGGAAACUGUAUGGCUGGAGUGCAGGAGAGGUAAGUGGAAUUCCUAGUGUAGCGGUGAAAUGCGUAGAUAUUAGGAGGAACACCAGUGGCGAAGGCGGCUUACUGGACUGUAACUGACGUUGAGGCUCGAAAGCGUGGGGAGCAAACAGGAUUAGAUACCCGGGUAGUC